This 189-nucleotide non-coding RNA is filed under the name Pseudomonadota bacterium. RNAcentral describes it as "6S RNA". It matches the Rfam family "6S / SsrS RNA". Rfam says of the family: E. coli 6S RNA was the first non coding RNA to be sequenced, but its function was unknown until recently. It consists of 184 nucleotides that fold into an extended hairpin structure with a large single-stranded internal bulge. The record is from RNAcentral. Lineage: Bacteria; Pseudomonadati; Pseudomonadota.
CGUCCCCUGCGGUGUAUGGCAGCGCGCUUCCAGCAAUUGCCUUGUUCCUAAUGUACGACCUUGGGCCGGCGGAUACCGAACCGUUGCGCAAGCCCGUCAAGAGCGGGAAGCCUUCAAGUCCGGCGAGCCUGCCCACUUGAUCCCGAUGGAUCAGGGUCGCUCGGCGCGCACCGGCAUCGCGGAGGACGC